This 497-nucleotide ribosomal RNA is filed under the name uncultured bacterium. RNAcentral describes it as "partial 16S ribosomal RNA". It matches the Rfam family "Bacterial small subunit ribosomal RNA", at positions 28 to 507 of the family's 1533-position model. The record is from RNAcentral.
GAUGAACGCUGGCGGCGUGCCUAAUACAUGCAAGUCGAGCGAACGGACGAGAAGCUUGCUUCUCUGAUGUUAGCGGCGGACGGGUGAGUAACACGUGGAUAACCUACCUAUAAGACUGGGAUAACUUCGGGAAACCGGAGCUAAUACCGGAUAAUAUUUUGAACCUCAUGGUUCAAAAGUGAAAGACGGUCUUGCUGUCACUUAUAGAUGGAUCCGCGGUGCAUUAGCUAGUUGGUAAGGUAACGGCUUACCAAGGCAACGAUGCAUAGCCGACCUGAGAGGGUGAUCGGCCACACUGGAACUGAGACACGGUCCAGACUCCUACGGGAGGCAGCAGUAGGGAAUCUUCCGCAAUGGGCGAAAGCCUGACGGAGCAACGCCGCGUGAGUGAUGAAGGUCUUCGGAUCGUAAAACUCUGUUAUUAGGGAAGAACAUAUGUGUAAGUAACUGUGCACAUCUUGACGGUACCUAAUCAGAAAGCCACGGCUAACUACGUG